Molecule: RNA transcript, 2541 nt
Organism: Cucumis sativus (cucumber)
Lineage: Eukaryota; Viridiplantae; Streptophyta; Magnoliopsida; Cucurbitales; Cucurbitaceae
Gene name: ras-related protein RABA4d
Exons: 4
Source: RefSeq, a predicted model, not a curated record
CGGGUUUGCAGAUUUUUUUGACUGUAAAAUCUAAAGUUGUGGACAAUGGUGUUCAAUUAUUUAUACCAUCAUGGACAAAGCUCUUAAGUCUUGAGCUUCCUUCGCUAAUUCACAGCAACAGUAAUGGCUUCUAUCAAUAAUAUCAUUUUGAUAAUCUUCAAACUGCUUUUCUUCACACUGCUUCUCAUCACUACCUCUUCAGCUUUCCAACCCCAACUUCAUGAACCUCACUUUCGUAAGAAGAUGAGGAUGGAGUAUAGAAGUGUUAGAAAGGCUGCGUUGGGAGGAAAGCCAGCAGUUUAUGAUUUCCCUUGGAAAGGUGGUUAUAAUCCUCCUCACAACAACCGUUGAUGUCUCUAUAUUAUUGGAUCAACAGAUUAUCAACCUUACAACCCUACAAAUAUUAAUUUAUGAUCUUUUUGUUGUUGUUUUGUUUCUAUUAUGUGUUCGUCUCUGUUGGUCACAAUACCCAAAUAUCUUCUCUUUUAUGUGUUCUUCUCUUUAUUCUUAAUAAUUGUUUUCUUUUGCUCUCUCUCGAUGUUGUUCUCUUUGUUUGUUGUUGUUUGUUUUCUAUAAAACAUUUUUAAUCAUAAUAAACGAUAUUCUUUAUAAAUGAUAGGUUGACUAAUGAGUAGGGUAGGGUUUAACAGAGAUAUUCAAAUGUGAUACUAUAACAAUUUUGGUCUCUACCCACACAAAGAAAUGUGAUCAGAUAUUAAGAAAAACAUGGGUAGAGCUUUUGUUGACGUUAUUUUUUGUGUGGUCGGAAUCCCGUCGUUUUUUCAUUUGCCCAGGUUGUUGACAUUACGUUGCCGUCCAUGUCAAUUAUAUUAAACUUGUGGGUAGAAAAGACAUUUCUGCCAAUGAAAUGAAUGUCGAUGAAAAAAUAUUUUUGCCUAUGAUCAUCGUCAUGUUGGCAAAAAUUAAUAGAAUUUCUAUCCACUUUUGUUUUAUGGAUAUAAAUUCUUUCUAUCUACAAAAUUAUAAGCUUUGAUAUUAAUUUUAUGUGUUCAACCAUGGAUUACUCAAAAAACCUAUUAUUUUGCUUACACUUGGACAAAUAAUAGGAAAAUGUGUAUUACGGAGGAUUUAGUGACAAUGCCAAAAGUAGAGAUAUAGUGAGCAUGUCACAUUCGAUGACUAUGACUCGCUGUGUAAAGGGACUUCGAUAUGACUUUAACAUAUACACUUUAAUCGUACAAUGCUAAGACUAACCCUCUGUCUCUCCUCAUUUGAUUCCAUAUCAAUCACCUUUUAUAUGGUCUCAAAGCAAAUAUCUUCUACUCCAAAUAAUUAUCCUUCAACAAUUAAUUUAUUUUUAUCCGUUUCCCAAAUCAAAUAUCCAACUGCUCACAAAAAUAUUAUAUUGGUGACAAUAUAAUUAUUUUUACUUCCCACAAAUUAAUUAUAUAUAUAUACAAAUACAUAUAAUUAACAUAACUUUUAAAAUCCACAACUUUAAUUAAAACCACACAACAUACAAUUUAAUCUAAUUAUCAACCAAACACAACAAUUCAAAUCCUCUAAUUAAUUAAAUAUUCAUCCAACAAUAUUUAGUUAAUUCCAAUUUUCACAAAAUAAAAUCAUCCUCAAUCAUUUUUUUCUCAAAAUAACACCCAAUAAAGUUGUAAUGCCUCAAGUUUAAGAGAUGAACAUGAAUGAAUCUUAUAUCACAUCUGAAUAAGAGGGAUCCUAAAGACAUGAAAUUAAUGUUAAGAAAAACUUAAAACAAAUAAAAGUUACUACUUGUACCAAUAUGGUGCAUCUUUCUUUUUUGUGGCUCAAUCAUAGGAACUCCAAAGUUUACGUCGUGUGCGGUCCAGAUCCACGUUGUCGGCCGCCAUACCUGUCUCCGUUCGCGAAGCAAAGCAGCGCGACCCUCUGCCUUCCAGUCGCAGCGCGACCCUCUGCCUUCCAGUCGCCGCGUGACCCUUUGCCUUCCAAUCGUGUGUUCCAAGUCGGCCCAUACUCCAAUCUUCCUUGCAAUCUCUUUUGCUUUAGUUUUGUGCGUCGUUGCCUCUACAUUGUUAAGGUGACAUUGGAGAGUUGGUGUUAAGGUUCUUGGGUUUCGCAGUAAGCUUCGUAGGAGUUCGAUUCUUUACUCCUUGGGAUUUGAUUGUUGGAAUUAGUUCGACCAAGGAUUUUUGCAUAAAAAUUGAGGUAAGGGUUUCUCUACUACUAGACUCAACCACCGUUAUAUAUAUAUGUAUUGAUGUAGACUGGUGUUGAAUGUGUAUGUGAAUGAUUGGAAUUGUGUAUAUACAUAAAUUGACGUAGACUUGAUGUUGAAUGCAUAUGAAGAUUGUCUGGGAUUAAAUAUGUAGCUGUGGAUGUAGGCAGGACGAUCUUAGUAGAUUGUGUUGUAUAAAAUUUUGGAUAUGAACUUGUGACUUUGAUUCGAUUGGGUGUAAGUUGUACUAAAGUGUGACUUGUACUGGUGAACUGAGGGGCGUUAUGACUUUGUGGUUUGAUUGACUGAUGUAUUAAAAUGUUAUUGAUUGAUUGAUGUAUUAAAAUGUUACCAACGGUCUUUGGACUAAA